CGACACCUACCGCCAAUAAAAAUAUCGUUAGGAUCACGGCACAUUGAAAAGACGCUGCAGUUACACAAUAUUUGAGGUUGGUGCACAAGGUCGUAGGACCGCUUCCCGGCCCUUAGAAAAGGACCCAGACGCCAUGAACCGUCAGCACCUAUGAUUUCUAAUAUUUGAGUUAAAAUGUCAUCUGGAAGAUUUGGUAUUUCAAUUUUCUCGAAGUGAAAGCGUAAGGAAGCAAUGAUGCCCCCUUUAAAUAGCUUUUGCCAAAAUCACAUCGGACAUAUUGUCAGUGUAACGGCUAUAUCUAGUAGAUAUAAAGUGAAUUUUUCAGAUAAUGCCCCAUU
Molecule: long non-coding RNA, 338 nt
Filed under: Brassica napus (rape)
Lineage: Eukaryota; Viridiplantae; Streptophyta; Magnoliopsida; Brassicales; Brassicaceae
Description: long non-coding RNA (BNAP_LNC001481)
Source: RNAcentral